This 253-nucleotide ribosomal RNA is filed under the name uncultured bacterium. Its description in RNAcentral is "partial 16S ribosomal RNA". It matches the Rfam family "Bacterial small subunit ribosomal RNA", at positions 524 to 776 of the family's 1533-position model. The record is from RNAcentral.
UACGGAGGGGGCUAGCGUUGUCCGGAAUUAUUGGGCGUAAAGAGCUCGUAGGCGGCUUGUCACGUCGAUUGUGAAAGCCCGAGGCUUAACCUCGGGUCUGCAGUCGAUACGGGCUAGCUAGAGUGUGGUAGGGGAGAUCGGAAUUCCUGGUGUAGCGGUGAAAUGCGCAGAUAUCAGGAGGAACACCGGUGGCGAAGGCGGAUCUCUGGGCCAUUACUGACGCUGAGGAGCGAAAGCGUGGGGAGCGAACAGG